CCUACGGGAGGCUGCAGUGGGGGAUAUUGCACAAUGGGGGAAUCCCUGAUGCAGCGACGCCGCGUGAGUGAAGAAGGAUUUCGGUAUGUAAAGCUCUAUCAGUAGGGAAGAAAAUGACAGUACCUGACCAAGAAUCUCCGGCUAACUACGAUCCAGCAGCCGCGGUAAUACGUAGGGGGCAAGCGUUAUCCGGAUUUACUGGGGGUAAAGGGAGCGUAGACGGUUUUGUAAGUGUGUAGUGAAAGCCCGGGGCCCAACCACGGGACUGCUUUGGAAACUGUGUAACUGGAGUGCAGGAGGGGCAGGCGGAAUUCCUGGUGUAGCGGUGAAAUGCGUAGAUAUCAGGAGGAACACCGGUGGCGAAGGCAGCAUGCUGGACUGAAACUGACGUUGAGGCUCGAAGGCGUGGGGAGCAAACAGGAUUAGAUACCCGGGUAGUC
RNAcentral lists this ribosomal RNA (440 nucleotides) under uncultured bacterium. RNAcentral describes it as "partial 16S ribosomal RNA". It matches the Rfam family "Bacterial small subunit ribosomal RNA", at positions 338 to 795 of the family's 1533-position model. The record is from RNAcentral.